UACGAAGGGGGCUAGCGUUGUUCGGAAUCACUGGGCGUAAAGCGCACGUAGGCGGAUACUUAAGUCAGGGGUGAAAUCCCGGGGCUCAACCUCGGAACUGCCCUUGAUACUGGGUGUCUUGAGUCCGGGAGAGGUUGGUGGAACUCCGAGUGUAGAGGUGAAAUUCGUAGAUAUUCGGAAGAACACCAGUGGCGAAGGCGGCCAACUGGCCCGGUACUGACGCUGAGGUGCGAAAGCGUGGGGAGCAAACAGG
Molecule: ribosomal RNA, 253 nt
Filed under: uncultured bacterium
Lineage: Bacteria
Description: partial 16S ribosomal RNA
Rfam family: Bacterial small subunit ribosomal RNA
Source: RNAcentral